Long non-coding RNA from Oncorhynchus masou masou (cherry salmon), 653 nucleotides. RefSeq lists it as uncharacterized. The transcript is spliced from 3 exons. The record is from RefSeq and is a predicted model, not a curated record. NCBI's taxonomy places the organism in Eukaryota, Metazoa, Chordata, Actinopteri, Salmoniformes, Salmonidae.
CGAGAGAAAAAGCAGAGAGAAAGAACAACUUGUCAGAUGGAGAUUGAUUCCUGUCUUUUCAUAAAGACAGCCGUGGUGUAGAACUUCAUCUCUGGGUUCUUCUGUGCUACAUAUAAAAGACUGCCACACAUGCAUACUGUCGCUUUGGAUAAGAGUCUUCAUAUUGUCACAUUUUAUUAUUUUUCUACACCUCAUGUGAGACCUCAAAUGUUCCUGCAUGGAUAUUUGACAGUAGCUAUGGGCUGCCUGCGCAUUGUGAGAAGACGGAACAAAAUAAAAAGCGUGUCUAAAUCGGACAGACCUCCCUCUCCGCCUCGUGUCAUUGGAGGCCAGCCGGCUUAUACCGUCCACCGGAUACUGGAUUCCCGCCGGGUGCAGCGGUCCUGGCAGUAUCUGGUGGACUGGGAAGGCUACGGUCCUGAGGAGCGCUCCUGGGUUCCUGCCAAAGACAUCCUGGACCCUGACCUCAUUCGUCAGUUCAGGGUCCUCCACCCUGAGAGAGCUGGUAGGAACGUCAGGAGCCGUUCCUAGGGGGGAUUCUGUCAGGAUUUGGCCAGGGUUGUUCCGGGUUUUGGUCAGUAGAUGUCCCCAUUGUGCUUUUUGUCCCUAUGUUUUUCCCUUGAUCCCCAUUAUUAUUUGCACCUGUGUCUCGU